GAUAAACGCUGGCGGCGUGCCUAAUGCAUGCAAGUCGCACGGAGGUGCUUUCGGGCACUUGAGUGGCGAACGGGUGAGGAACACGUGGCCGACCUACCCUGGUGUGGGGAAUACCCUGUGGAAACACAGGCUAAUACCGCGUACGGUCCUUUCGUGGUAGAUGAAAGGAAGAAAGCAGUGAUGCGCACUAGGAGGGGGCUGCGGCCGAUUAGCUAGUUGGUGGGGUAAUAGCUCACCAAGGCGAUGAUCGGUAGCGGGUCUGAGAGGAUGAUCCGCC
This 277-nucleotide ribosomal RNA is filed under the name uncultured bacterium. RNAcentral's name for it is "partial 16S ribosomal RNA". It matches the Rfam family "Bacterial small subunit ribosomal RNA", at positions 28 to 309 of the family's 1533-position model. The record is from RNAcentral.